GUUGGUGUAGCUUAGUGGUAGAGCUCUUGCCUAGCACCUGCAAAGGCCUGGGUUAAGUCCCCAGCACUACA
This 71-nucleotide transfer RNA is filed under the name Cavia porcellus (domestic guinea pig). It matches the Rfam family "tRNA". Rfam says of the family: Transfer RNA (tRNA) molecules are approximately 80 nucleotides in length. Their secondary structure includes four short double-helical elements and three loops (D, anti-codon, and T loops). Further hydrogen bonds mediate the characteristic L-shaped molecular structure. tRNAs have two regions of fundamental functional importance: the anti-codon, which is responsible for specific mRNA codon recognition, and the 3' end, to which the tRNAs corresponding amino acid is attached (by aminoacyl-tRNA synthetases). tRNAs cope with the degeneracy of the genetic code in two manners: having more than one tRNA (with a specific anti-codon) for a particular amino acid; and 'wobble' base-pairing, i.e. permitting non-standard base-pairing at the 3rd anti-codon position. Lineage: Eukaryota; Metazoa; Chordata; Mammalia; Rodentia; Caviidae. The record is from Rfam by way of RNAcentral.